Molecule: ribosomal RNA, 492 nt
Filed under: uncultured bacterium
Lineage: Bacteria
Description: partial 16S ribosomal RNA
Rfam family: Bacterial small subunit ribosomal RNA
Source: RNAcentral
AGUGAACGCUGGCGGUAGGCCUAACACAUGCAAGUCGAACGGCAGCACAGUAAGAUCUUGCUCUUACGGGUGGCGAGUGGCGGACGGGUGAGGAAUACAUCGGAAUCUACUUUUUCUUGGGGGAUAACGUAGGGAAACUUACGCUAAUACCUCAUACUACCUACGGGUUUAAUCAGGGGUUCUUCGGACCUUUCGCGUUUUUUUUAGCCGAUGUCGGAUUAGCUAGUUGGCUGGGUAAUGGCCCACCAAGGCGACGAUCCGUAGCUGGUUUGAGAGGAUGAUCAGCCACACUGGAACUGAGACACGGUCCAGACUCCUACGGGAGGCAGCAGUGGGGAAUAUUGGACAAAGGGCGCAAGCCUGAUCCAGCAAUACCGCGUGAGUGAAGAAGGACUUCGGGUUGUAAAGCCCUUUUGUUGGGAAAGAAAAGCAGCAGGUUAAUACCCCGAUGUUGUGACGGUACCCAAAGAAUAAGCACCGGCUAACUUCGUG